RNAcentral lists this ribosomal RNA (253 nucleotides) under uncultured bacterium. Its description in RNAcentral is "partial 16S ribosomal RNA". It matches the Rfam family "Bacterial small subunit ribosomal RNA", at positions 524 to 776 of the family's 1533-position model. The record is from RNAcentral.
UACGUAGGGCGCAAGCGUUGUCCGGAAUUAUUGGGCGUAAAGAGCUCGUAGGCGGCUUGUUGCGUCGGAUGUGAAAGCCCGGGGCUUAACUCCGGGUCUGCAUUCGAUACGGGCAGGCUUGAGUUCGGUAGGGGAGACUGGAAUUCCUGGUGUAGCGGUGAAAUGCGCAGAUAUCAGGAGGAACACCGGUGGCGAAGGCGGGUCUCUGGGCCGAUACUGACGCUGAGGAGCGAAAGCGUGGGGAGCGAACAGG